GUGGGGAAUUUUGGACAAUGGGCGCAAGCCUGAUCCAGCAAUGCCGCGUGCAGGAAGAAGGCCUUCGGGUUGUAAACUGCUUUUGUACGGAACGAAACGGUCCUGGUUAAUACCUGGGGCUAAUGACGGUACCGUAAGAAUAAGCACCGGCUAACUACGUGCCAGCAGCCGCGGUAAUACGUAGGGUGCAAGCGUUAAUCGGAAUUACUGGGCGUAAAGCGUGCGCAGGCGGUGCUGUAAGACAGGCGUGAAAUCCCCGGGCUUAACCUGGGAAUUGCGCUUGUGACUGCAGUGCUGGAGUGCGGCAGAGGGGGAUGGAAUUCCGCGUGUAGCAGUGAAAUGCGUAGAUAUGCGGAGGAACACCGAUGGCGAAGGCAAUCCCCUGGGCCUGCACUGACGCUCAUGCACGAAAGCGUGGGGAGCAAACAGGAUUAGAUACCCGAGUAGUCC
This 450-nucleotide ribosomal RNA is filed under the name uncultured bacterium. Its description in RNAcentral is "partial 16S ribosomal RNA". It matches the Rfam family "Bacterial small subunit ribosomal RNA", at positions 354 to 796 of the family's 1533-position model. The record is from RNAcentral.